UACUGGCAGGAUCAACCAGGUAGCAUUCCUUCGCGACGCCGACGCCCGCAUGAGGCCCGACGAGCCGUGCGGCCGUUGGACGCUCAAGACGGGCGCGGCAGUCGUUCGUGUCGAGGGACGAAAUGCGUUGCUUGGGCAAACGAAGGCCGAGAGACCCCGCACCCGCGCAUAACAUUCUGCAUCCGAGAGCACGGGCAGAGCAACUCAUGGGCCAGGGCAACCACGCAAGCGGGGCGAGGCAUGCCAGGAACACGAGGCUCGCCUUGCGUCCACCCCACCACCCGCGAGGGCAUGGG
This 296-nucleotide unclassified non-coding RNA is filed under the name Protium hebetatum. Its description in RNAcentral is "partial external transcribed spacer". Lineage: Eukaryota; Viridiplantae; Streptophyta; Magnoliopsida; Sapindales; Burseraceae. The record is from RNAcentral.